UAAGCUUAGAAGGUUGGUUUAGUAAGAUAUCAGUUUUUGUGAUAUUAGUUUAUUAGUAGAAACUAGAGAAAAAAGUUUGGUAGAAUCCUAGUACUGUGAGGGAAUAGUAUAUUAAUAUAAUAAUAAGUAGUGAUUAAAACAUGUACCUUUUGCAUCAUGGCCUGGUAAGAUAGAAGAAUCAAACAGAUGCUUCUCGAAGCCCGACGAGCGUCCUUUUUGUUACAUUUAGUGUAAAACCCUGCUUAUGUGGCACUAUGAGGGGGAAAUAGAAAGGAAGUGUUGAAAUUUUAUUCGUGUAGGGGGAUAGCUAGUUUUUUCAUAAAUACAUGUUAGUGUAUCGGUUGUAUUUAUAACUAAGUCUUUUGAUUUUGUACUACGUGAGAGCGGGCCUGGUUAAUAUAUUUCCGUCAGGCAUUGGAGACUAAGCUCUGAUGUUAGUAAGUUUUGCUAUAAACAUUUAUUUUAGAGGGGGGCAGCCUAAAAUUAGCUAUCCUAUUUUCCGCUUGUUAUAAAUGACUCCUAUUUAAUGCAAUUGUAAGAUAAAUUUAAGAAGCUAUAUAAUUGAUGAAAAUACAUACAAAAAUAAAAUAGUUUGAAAAUAAUGCUAGGAUGAGUAUCACGUGUAGUUAAAAAAAUAGAAGUUGAUCAUCUGUUUAGCAAGAAGAAGACUUUAAAUACAGUAAUAAAAUAUGUAUAUUUAGAAAAGGAAUUCGGCAAAUGAAACCUCCGCCUGUUUAACAAAAACAUGGCUCUUUGCUUUGGCUAUAAAGAGUCUGACCUGCUCUAUGAUUUUAAUUAAAUGGCCGCGGUACCCUGACCGUGCAAAGGUAGCAUAAUCACUUGCCUUUUAAUUGGAGGCUGGUAUGAAUGGUUGGACGGGAGGUUGGCUGUCUCUACUAAAUUUUACGAGAAUUCAAUUUAUAGGUACAAAAGCCUAUAUUCUAUUAAAAGACGAGAAGACCCUAGCGAGCUUUAUUCUAGCAGUGAAAUCAUUGUUCACAGCAGAUUUUGGUUGGGGCGACUGAGGAUAAAAAAGCAUCCUUGAUUUAUAAUAAAAUGGUGGUUACAGAUCCAGCACAUGUUGAGCGACAGGUGAGCUACCGUAGGGAUAACAGCGUAAUCUUUUUAGAGAGUUCUAAUCGAAAAGAGGGUUUGCGACCUCGAUGUUGGACUAGGAUAUCCUAAGGGUGCAGAAGCUUUUAAGGGUUGGUCUGUUCGACCACUAAAAUCCU
RNAcentral lists this ribosomal RNA (1232 nucleotides) under Dendropoma corrodens (ringed wormsnail). RNAcentral describes it as "16S ribosomal RNA". The stretch from base 684 to 1232 matches the Rfam family "Archaeal large subunit ribosomal RNA", at positions 1423 to 2666 of the family's 2987-position model. The record is from RNAcentral. Lineage: Eukaryota; Metazoa; Mollusca; Gastropoda; Littorinimorpha; Vermetidae.